GGAUAAUUCUUGCACGAAAAACGAUGCAAAAACGCGAGAAAAAGGGAAGAAAUGAGCAAACUACUCGGCUGCCCUCGACACCCUUUUAUAGGGGCUGGAAGGUCGAAUUACGCUGGGCGUAACUUGAGAUUACGCUGGGCGUAACGACGAUAAGGUCGCUGACUCCCCCCAUGGAUAAUAUCGGCCAAUAUAUAUUUAAAUUAAAUAUCGAAAAUAUUUAAUAAACUUCAAAAAUUCAUAUCUUCCUCAUACGAACUCCGUUUUCGAUGUUAUUUAUAUCCCCGCGUAGGUGAGACUACGCUCUACAACUUUCGUUUAGACUCCGUCGGCUAAUUUUGAAUUUAUUUUUAGUAGGCCGGGACAGAAAAACUCCGUUAUAAAAUCAUAACUUCUUCACCCGACGUCCGUUUUCGCCUAUCUUUUUAUCUUUUUACUACAAUUAAUGAGAUCUUCAAUUCUCAUUUAGAUUGUUUCGGCUAAAAACUGCUCGUUCUCAAAUCGAGCAUUCGGGCUCCAUACCGCUAACUCGAAACUUCGAAAAAUCAUAACUUCCUCAUACGAAGUCAGAUUUGGGCGUUAUUUUUAUGCACGCUCAUGGUUUAACGUAUUAUACGACUUUCAUUUAGAUUGCUAAGGCUAAAUAUUACUCUAACGUAAAUUCACUUUUUACGUCACGCUGUGUCGUACCGGUUCUGUCGCGAAACUUCGACAGGUCAUAACUUCUUCGUUAUAACUCGGAUUUCGGCGUUCUUUAUAUGCACGAAACCUUGUAACAUAUACUAUAACUUAGUUAAGAUUAUUCAUUCUAAAUAAUCUUUAAUCAAAAAUUCAUUUUUGACGCCUAUCGUCUCUAAAUUGACUAGCCCUGAUCUACGGGCGUUACAAUUAUCUCCCCCUUAGGAUGAUUACGUCCCGGAAUCAUCAAUGAAAUAUGACUUGAAUAAUGAUUCCACACGUUAUUAUUCAUCCUAGGUAAUAACCGCAACUUAUAUGUUUCUUCGAAAUAGUAUUUAACUCUAUGGCUUUCUUUACCGCAGAAGAUGCCAAAUCUUGCAUCUGCUUAUCGUACUAGGUUGUACUUUCAAUCGUAACCUUCAAGUUACCGAAUAAGUCCUUACUGUGGACUCAUUCUUCUUCUUAGGAUAAAUACUUUCCUUUAUCUAUUGUAACAGACCGAUGGGUCGUGCUCUACUGACCUCUCGUCGUACGAUGCAACGCUUAGACUUGGUCUUUUUAAAGUUAAAUUCCAGAAUGGAAUAUACCUUCCUUCAUAUUCUAAUGUGAUAUAAUCACAUUUCAGUAUGUAGCAUUUCUAGCUACAAACUUUAUGAACAACGAGCGCGAUACCAAUGAUCGUAUUGACUUCAAUCUUUUGACUUACGUUAGAUGUUACUUCGAACUUGGUUCUCUGAACCACGUAACAUACUCACCGUAGUCGGACUCCAAUUGGAUAUGACCACUAGGGUCGGAACAAGAACCAUCUUACUAGUCAUUACCGAAACCAUGGUAAUGACACACUUGAACAAAACAGAAUCAAUUACUAGCUUCUUGGUAACCUUGUGACUUUCCCUGAUCCAAGUGCGAGUCCUGUGCUUCCGGUAGUAUAUGCAUCUACUAUCUUUCACACCUACUCAUACUCGUCCCAAGUAUUGUCCCGCAGUCGACCAAGUCACCAUACAAGAAAAUCACAAAACAGUUUAACACAUACGAAUGUGUCCAAGUAAUCAUAAACAAUUUCCUUAGACUCUACUAGGACUUCUUCAUUGCUCAAUCUUCAAUCAUCAACUCUACUUCAACUCGAUUGGUGAUGGAAAUACCAGACGAUGAGACAACUUCAAGAAUUUCACCAAUCGUUCCAUCAUCCUGCUAAUCGAAGGUGUACUUUAGACGUACCGUACUCCUCUAAACGUACUUUUAUUUCAUAAGACAUACUCUAAAGGCAAGAUACCACUCUUACGAUAUCUUCCGAUAGGUGUCAUUCACUAUCAUAAGCCUUCUUUAUUUCCUCCAUUUACUCAAUUCUCUACAAGUCUUCACCAUGACCUUUUGUACAUCCAAGCAGACAUUCGGUGUACCAACGAGAAUUUAAGAUAAGAAAGCUUCAUUUACGAUAAACGUAUAAAUCUCCUUAUCCCUCCGAAACGUUUACAUGCUAGUUCUAAUAUCGUAGUCGUACGCUUAGAAUCCUAAACACAUAAGGUUUCCAGAUCCGGUCGGCAACAGACCAUAGACCCGAACAAAUAAUAGCAUCAAUUUAGCUAUCACACAAAACAAUUAGCACAUAAAAGCAUUUUAGGCAUCAUUCCUAAAAUAAACUAGUGCUUGUGUCAAUUUAGGUGUACUACCUAACAUAUUUUAGACACACUCCUCACAAUCAUUACUUAGCAUUCUAAGUUUAAGUCUAGAAAUUUCCUACAAAUUCCUAGUUCGCUUAAACUAAUGCUCUGAUACCAACUGUGACAUCCCCAUUUUCACGGCCAGAAAAGACCGAUUUGUUUAUGCUUUGUUUUAUAAAAUCAGAGUAAUCUUUUAAAGAAAACAGUUGCGGAAUUUGUUCCCAAAACAAAAUAUGAUAAAAAUUAUCAAAGCAUUUCCUUAAAGAAAUGUAUUUUCAUUAUAUAACAAAAUCUCGGGAUGUCAUGUUCAAUACAGACCAAAAGCAUAAACAGAACAAAAUAGACCUUACAACAGUUAUUCAUAACUACUGGCCUAUAAUCCAAAAUCUCUCGUCAAGUCCACCAACUUAUACUCUUGUGCCAUUACCUGUAAUCCAAAGAAAACUGAGUGGGUCAGACUCGGGAGCCUGGUGAGCAUAUAGGGUUUUCAACCCACAAUAAUAUAAUUAUUAUAUUUAAUUAUCAAACAAUUAAUCCAAUUACCCACCCCCAUUAUCUCCAUUUAUUUAGUAAAGAUUUACCCUAAGAACCGAAUACCCUUCUCCCAUUCAUUCCUAAGAAAUGCCCUAAGGAAUUUGCACAAAGUCUAGUGCUGCCUUGGUUCUUAGAUUACCUUUGGUGAACACGCAGUUUAAAAUAAUUAAUAAACACCUAUUUCAAGAACACCCAUUGAACACUCCGUUCAAUAAUACCUAAUGAACACCUAGUUCAAAUAUCCCUGGUGAACUCAAUCACCUAAGGAACACAGCGUACGAAAGCUCUUAGUUCAAACCACGUGAUUAAAAUGUAUAUCUCGAUCCUACAAAACCACUAAUAUUAUUAACACAUAUAAAUCAUAUUUCUAAAACAAUCUAUCCCAUCCCGUCGAUCCCCACAUACUGACCCUAUACAAUGAUCUUACGAGAUCUAGCCUAAGGAAAUCGAUAUGAACAACAACUGACGAAGCUGCUUCGGAAAUUCCCUAGCAGCAAACGAGGAUCAAUAAAGACAUCAAAUGAGGGGAAUAGAAUGAGUUUCACCACGAACCUUCGUUCGUAAAAGAAAGAACCACAAGACAUUUUAAGUCAGGGGUAGUUAUCUAGAUAACAAUGCCUAGGCGUGGUCUGACUAUCAUGAGGUAUUAUACCCCCAGACUUUACCUAUCCCAGCAUCGAACUUUGCCUAGCAGUGGCCUGAAUACAUGAGGUAUUUAACCCCCAGACGCACCCUAUCCAGCAAUAUAACACCAAACAUACCUAGCAGUGGUCUAUUACCGACACACUUUACUAGGCAGUCUACGAAGUUCCCUUAAUUACUUCGUGAAAGAAAACGCUGACAUAUGAAGCUCGGUCGAUCACUUCAUAAAAGAAACGCUGACUCCAAAGCUCUCUCAAAAUAAAAGUAUGGGGAAAUACUACUAGAGUACUCCCGUACGCUCCCGUAACCGACACACAAAAUUGCCAAAAAGACUUUGUACAUGAUAGUACUUCUGGCACAUUAUAGUACUUUGGUAUGCGAAAGAAUCGUACCCAAGAAAGUAAUAGUACCCUGGCACAAGCAGCACCCAAGACACAGAGCUUUGAAAAAGACUUCGUACAUAAAAUGUACUUCUAUACGUAGGAAGUACUCCACCGAUCAUCAAUCUCGCAACGCACACACUCUUAAUAAGAGACUACCCAAUGUCCAAACUUAAUUGAACUAAACAUCCCAUUUAAGUCUUAACCCAUCACUAGGCAAACCUACAAUACAUAUAAUCAAUUCCCGAUACUAUCUCCGUUUAUGAAAAAGACUAACUAGUGUAUACUUAACACAAGGUUUUAAGUAAUAAUAUCAUAUAUAUACAUCUUAACACAUAUAUGAUUCGUACGUUGUAUAUCAUCAAAUAUAUCUAACACGUAUUUCAGAAAAUAACAAAUACUUCACAUACAUAUGUAUAUUUCAUACUUUAAUCAAUUCUUGUGUUAAAAUCACGUUCCUAAAAGGGACUAUACACAUGAUACCUUAUCGAAUGAACACGUAAUUCAAAAAUACAUAAUCCGUACUCCCGGAUCUAAAAUUAACCUCUUGAUCUGAUCCCUACUCUCGGAUCUAAAACUAAUCUCUUGAUCUGAUCCAUACUCUCGGAUCUAAAACUAACCUUUUGAUCUGAUCCAUACAUCCAGAUCUAAAACAAGUUUAUCUCUUUAUUCUUUUAUCUCAUGGUCCAACCCAUAUUUUAUCACCUACCAACAACCUCAUCUACUCAUGUUCUACCCAACAUAUCUUUAGAUACAAAAUACGUAUAUAGUUUAACUCAUUAAAACUUAUAUAAUUCACCCGUUCCACAAUCAUCUCAAAUAAACAACAAAAUAUUAUACACGUAGCACGUAUUUCAUAGCAAAUACUUAAUAUUUAUGUGUUAGAAGAAAGUGACCACACACUCACUUGAUUAGAAGAUGAUCGGACAGCACUACGGCUUGUAGAAGUAGUAUUCUUCGGCAGAUCUGGAAGAUCUUAAAAAAAAACCGGACUCCUCGGGGCAGAGCUUCGGCUCGCGAAUUGCACUUCUCGGGAUCUUCAGGGCCUCGGGACAUGCUUCGGGGCUCGGGAAUGAUACCGGGGCUUCGGGAUAAUUCUUGCACGAAAAACGAUGCAAAAACGCGAGAAAAAGGGAAGAAAUGAGCAAACUACUCGGCUGCCCUCGACACCCUUUUAUAGGGGCUGGAAGGUCGAAUUACGCUGGGCGUAACUUGAGAUUACGCUGGGCGUAACGACGAUAAGGUCGCUGACUCCCCCCAUGGAUAAUAUCGGCCAAUAUAUAUUUAAAUUAAAUAUCGAAAAUAUUUAAUAAACUUCAAAAAUUCAUAUCUUCCUCAUACGAACUCCGUUUUC
RNAcentral lists this long non-coding RNA (5246 nucleotides) under Lactuca sativa (garden lettuce). Its description in RNAcentral is "long non-coding RNA (LSAT_LNC004815)". The record is from RNAcentral. Lineage: Eukaryota; Viridiplantae; Streptophyta; Magnoliopsida; Asterales; Asteraceae.